UCCACUAGUUCUUGAAGAAAUCCGGGAGGUAAACUACUCACAACCCUCUUACUGAUCAGGGUCUGGAUUCUUGUCCUCUUGACCUAAAAUGGUUAAUGAAAGAAUGAACUACACUAACCUAAUAAAAAUAUCACACUACUCACUGAUAUAGAAAACUGAAUAUUAGUAAAAAUCAGAAAAAUAACUAAUAGAAUCAUUGCUUUAAUUAAAUACAUUUAACUUAAGAACGUUGUUUGAUACUUAUCGUGAUGAGUUUUCCAAACAACAACCUAUAAAGACUCAUAUCCAUGCCACUUUUCAUUUUGACGCACAAGAGAAUAAGAGACGACAAUUUUUCUCUCUUACUUACUUACUGGUACCCUUGGGAGUCCAUAGGGAUGUCCCCCUACUCGUGAACCCAAUAUCCAAUUUUAAUAAUUAACUGGUCGUCCCCAUCCUAGUCUGGUAAAUGGCGUCAAACAUUCUAUCGCCUCGAUAUCUCGUAUGGUAUGAGGGUCAACCAUAUCUAUCGAACCUUUCUGGUAAGGGACUUUCCAGCCCCGUUCGACUAAGGUAACGUUCACGGUAGGGUUCCUUAUAUACCAGGUCCGUCAACCAUUUCUUUGAGUACCUAGUAAGUCUUUCACAUAAAGAUUUUCAUCAAUAAAACAACCAAUAAACG
This 661-nucleotide long non-coding RNA is filed under the name Carica papaya (papaya). Its description in RNAcentral is "long non-coding RNA (CPAP_LNC000809)". Lineage: Eukaryota; Viridiplantae; Streptophyta; Magnoliopsida; Brassicales; Caricaceae. The record is from RNAcentral.